Molecule: ribosomal RNA, 253 nt
Filed under: uncultured bacterium
Lineage: Bacteria
Description: partial 16S ribosomal RNA
Rfam family: Bacterial small subunit ribosomal RNA
Source: RNAcentral
UACGUAGGGGGCAAGCGUUGUCCGGAAUCAUUGGGCGUAAAGCGCGUGUAGGCGGUUACGUAAGUCAGGGGUGAAAUCCCACGGCUCAACCGUGGAAGUGCCUUUGAUACUGCGGGCCUUGAGGGAGGUAGGGGCGUGCGGAACUUCCGGUGGAGCGGUGAAAUGCGUAGAUAUCGGAAGGAACACCGGUGGCGAAAGCGGCGCGCUGGACCUCUUCUGACGCUGAGGCGCGAAAGCCAGGGGAGCAAACGGG